RNAcentral lists this ribosomal RNA (264 nucleotides) under uncultured bacterium. RNAcentral's name for it is "partial 16S ribosomal RNA". It matches the Rfam family "Bacterial small subunit ribosomal RNA", at positions 90 to 354 of the family's 1533-position model. The record is from RNAcentral.
UUCGAGUGGCGGACGGGUGAGUAACGCGUGGGUAACCUGCCUUACACAGGGGGAUAACACCUGGAAACAGGUGCUAAUACCGCAUAAGCGCACAGGGCCGCAUGGCCCGGUGUGAAAAACUCCGGUGGUGUAAGAUGGACCCGCGUCUGAUUAGCUUGUUGGCGGAGUAGGGGCCCACCAAGGCGACGAUCAGUAGCCGGCCUGAGAGGGUGGACGGCCACAUUGGGACUGAGACACGGCCCAAACUCCUACGGAAGGCAGCAG